Molecule: ribosomal RNA, 330 nt
Filed under: uncultured bacterium
Lineage: Bacteria
Description: bacterial SSU rRNA
Rfam family: Bacterial small subunit ribosomal RNA
Source: RNAcentral
CGUGUAGGCGGGUGCUUAAGUCUGCUGUGAAAUCUCCCGGCUCAACUGGGAGGGGUCAGCAGAUACUGGGCGUCUGGAGUGAGGCAGGGGGUACUGGAAUUCCCGGUGUAGCGGUGAAAUGCGUAGAUAUCGGGAGGAACAUCAAUGGCGAAGGCAGGUACCUGGGCCUUUACUGACGCUAAGCGCGAAAGCUAGGGGAGCAAACAGGAUUAGAUACCCUGGUAGUCCUAGCCGUAAACGAUGAGAGCUAGGUGUGGGAGGAAUCGACCCCUUCCGCGCCGACGCUAACGCAUUAAGUUCUCCGCCUGGGGAUACGGCCGCAAGGUUAAA